GGUGGUUCUCAGGUGAUGCACCCUGGAAUCGGGCUCCCUUCUCUGGUUCCGGGUGCGUCACCCGAGAACCGCA
Myotis brandtii (Brandt's bat) is the source of this 73-nucleotide non-coding RNA. NCBI's taxonomy places the organism in Eukaryota, Metazoa, Chordata, Mammalia, Chiroptera, Vespertilionidae. The record is from Rfam.